This is a long non-coding RNA of Pogoniulus pusillus (Red-fronted tinkerbird), 1977 nucleotides long. RefSeq lists it as uncharacterized. The record is from RefSeq and is a predicted model, not a curated record. The transcript is spliced from 3 exons. Lineage: Eukaryota; Metazoa; Chordata; Aves; Piciformes; Lybiidae.
GCAGAAGCCCCAAGCUGUGCCCAUCUGGGCAGAGGGAUCCUCCUCCUGUCAUCACUGAAUGAGCCAACUUGCUGUCAGACAUUUCGUAGCACAGAGUGUUUGAGUCUUCAGUUACCUACCAUGGAAACAUCAAAACCUGAUCAGGAAAAGGAAUUGCCAUCCACUCUGCGUGAGAAAGCCACAGCCAGGAUCCACUUGUGCCAAGAGGAGGGAAUCCUCUCCUGAAUGUAAAUCACCUUGUGAACGUGAUGAUCACAUUAAGAACAUGAGAAGUGCCUCAACAAAGAUCAGAUCAUCCUGAAUGACCCACCUGUUGUGUCACCUCUGCCCGCUGAGACAGCACCUGCCAAGGAGGUGUGAUGGACAGUGGAUGUCAAAGAGGGGUGGAGGCCACUCAGUGCCAACCCCUGCAAGCACCUGAGAAGACCCCCUGGAAGUCACCUCUGGAAUGUGACAAGGAUCUGGGCCAGGUGGAGCUACAAUGAAUGAAUCAAGAACAAUACAAAACCCUGAGCUAUGCCAGCUUAGGCGGGGGAAGAUGACCUGGGGCAUCUCAGGCUGGAGGCAGCAGCCCAGGAAUGUCUCUCCCCCCCGCCCCCAGCCAAAGAGGGGUGGUAAUUAUCUUGCCUGCUCUGUCUGUCUGUAGUCUCUUUCUCCCCCUUUUAUUUUCCUUUUUUUUUUUUGUUUGUGGCUGAGUUUGUGGGGGAGUUUUAUUGUUUGUGUCUUAAUUUCACUCACAGGAAUAUUCAAGAGAACCUUGUCUCCUUCCUAACUUCUGGAUCAAGAUAGCAGAUACCAUCCAAAUUAUGUUUCACCCUUUCUGGACAUAGAGCACACAAUGUUUGCAAGCCCAUAGCCAUACAAACAUCAAAUCUUUGCUUCCUUGAUGCAGCUAUUCAAGAGAUAUAAAAUAAAACUAAACUAAAAUUAAAUCAAAUUAAAUUACAUUAACCACAAAUUGAAUAAAACAGACACAGAUGGAACAGAAGUGAAGAGCUGACCAAUAUGGAUCAACACACUUCUUGGGGGACUGGCAGGCCAUGCUUGCAUUCACCAGCAACGUGGCAGACCAUAACUAGAAAGCAGUGACCACCUUGGUAGCACCCAAUGGAAGCCUUACCUGAAUGAUGCAGAAUGGUAAGCUGUGCAUCCCAGUCAGGUGUGUGUGCCUGGGAGGAAGCUUUUUCAGGUGUCAGGGAUGAAAAGCCAAGAGCUGGUAUACCCAAUACACUGCUGUCAGUUGGCUGUUCAGGAAAAACAAGCAGUUUUGGAAGUUCAGACUUACAGAUGGGUGGACACAUGUGUUCUUCACAUCACUGCAAGAGAAACUCAGAUGCCAAGAAAGGCCACACAAAGUCAGUCACAAUGCUCUCUUUGCCUGGCACCCUGCCUAUAACAGAGGCUAAGCAAGGACACCUGUGGAGCAGUUCAAUAAAAAGUCAAGUGUGUAGUGAUGCUUCUCCAGGAUAGACUUCUGGCUGUCAACAAUUCUUGCUUAAGGAUUUGCUGCAGGACAACUGCCUGGAGAUUUAAUAACCCUUGAUGGGUUUUCCUUCAAUGCAUUUGUUUGUGUCAACCUUUGGCAACCACAACAUAGUAAAUGGAAGAGUUCCUUUGCAGAAGCAUGUAGCAUGGAAAGUAUCUGCUGCAGAACUAGGCCAUGUACAGGAGACAUACAUACUCUGAGAGCAAAGGGGGAAGAAUCCUGCUCUGAAAGGGGGUUGGCCUAGAUGAUCUUUUGAGGUCCCUUCCAGUCCUUGACAUUCUGUGGCUCUGUGCUUCUGAGUGCUACAUAGGAUGUUAAAAAUACUGGUGCAUUACAGGUUAACACAGGGGUGUAGUAACAAGGGGGGUUUGUCCACUUAUGAAUACUUAGCUGAGGUCUUUGUACAAUGUACUUUGAUUUUUGAGAGAUAGCAGUCAUCUCAGAGUCCUCUCAGUAUGCUUAUAAAGACAAAAGUGCUGGACAAGGAGACU